RNAcentral lists this long non-coding RNA (965 nucleotides) under Ananas comosus (pineapple). Its description in RNAcentral is "long non-coding RNA (ACOM_LNC040186)". The record is from RNAcentral. Lineage: Eukaryota; Viridiplantae; Streptophyta; Magnoliopsida; Poales; Bromeliaceae.
AUAUUUCUAUUCAAGAUUAUCCGUUUGAGAAAAAAGAAGAAUUUAAAUAUCAUUAUCACUACAACAAAAACGGCCUAUAGCAACACUUUUAAAUGUAGGUACAUGUCAAAAAAGUACUGCUAGCUAAAAUUACCGACACUUUUAAAAAGUGUUGCUAUAUGUGGGGUCGCUAGGCAUAUAGUGACAGUUGAAGAGUGUCGCUAUAACCUAAAAGAGUACUGCUAAUUUACGAACACUUAUUUAAGCAUUAGCAACCGCCGAAACUCUAUCUCGUUGGCUGCGGUGGCGGAGGAGGACGACAGGAAAGGCUCUUCGUCUAGAAUUUCAGUGGAUUGAGUGAAGAGAGAAGAAAAGAUGGUAAUUGAUUUUUCUUUUUUUUUCUUUUCUAUUUGUAAUCGGGCCAAAUGGACUGGGUGUGGUGGGUUGAGUAGAGUAAUCUUUUAUUUUUGGUUGGAUUGAGCUUUAUAUUUAGGCAUUAGUAGAUGUUUUUUUAAGUUUUAGCAUAAAUGGGACACUUACUCAAAAGUGUCCCAAACAUGUGUCCCUAUAACCUAAUUAUGUUGUAGUAUUACAUAUUCAUUCUAAGUGGUUCCUAUUCUUAUUCUUAUUCUAUUUUUAAAGUAGGCCUGUUAAUAGAUCAAAAUUUGAAAUGCAUGUUUUUAUAUAUAGUAUAGAUUAUAGACGAAAAUAACUUACAUCUUUGUUGGCUCCCUUUUUCAAUUACUUGAGGGCAAGUAAAGGAUAUGGAGCAAGAAGAAAGAAGAAAGAUUUAGUCGUUGAUCAAGUGUGUUGAAACGAGAGGAGUAUAAAACUAAAUCUUUAAUAAAUAUUUUUGGACUAAAUUUCGAUGGUGGAUAAUUUUCCACACAUUUACAGCCGUCUAUAUAUAAACAUAAAUCAAAAUCCUAAUAACAAUAACUGAACGAGAUUUAAACUUAUCUCUUAUGUCUAACCAACAAAAUAUU